This 588-nucleotide ribosomal RNA is filed under the name Turbo sazae. RNAcentral describes it as "partial 16S ribosomal RNA". It matches the Rfam family "Bacterial large subunit ribosomal RNA", at positions 1808 to 2607 of the family's 2925-position model. Lineage: Eukaryota; Metazoa; Mollusca; Gastropoda; Trochida; Turbinidae. The record is from RNAcentral.
CAAAAACAUCGCUCUCUGAAAUUAAGUUAUUUUAUUAUUAAUUAUAUAUAGAGAGUCGAACCUGCCCGGUGACUAAUAUUGUUAAACGGCCGCGGUACUCUGACCGUGCAAAGGUAGCAUAAUCAUUUGCCUUUUAAUUGAAGGCUUGUAUGAAUGGUUUGACGAGAACUAAACUGUCUCUUUUUAAAUAUAUAAAAAUUAAUUUUUAGGUGAAGAAGCCUGUAUUUAAUUGAGGGACAAGAAGACCCCGUUGAGCUUUAGUGAUUUGAUAAAUUUUCAUGAAAUAAUUAAAUUUUCAUUUUAUUACAUUAAUUGAAAAUAUUAUUUAUUAAGAAUCUUUAGUUGGGGCGACUGAGGAACAUAACUAGCUUCCUUUAAAUAAUAUUUUAUGGAAGUCAAUCCAUUAAUUUUAUGAUCCAGUACUUACUGAUUAAAGGAAAAAGUUACCACGGGGAUAACAGCGUAAUCUUUCUAAAGAGUUCUUAUCGAAGGAAGGGUUUGCGACCUCGAUGUUGGAUUAAGAUAUCCUAGAGAUGUAGAAGUUUCUAAUGGUUAGUCUGUUCGACUAUUAAAAUCUUACGUGAUCUG